This 552-nucleotide ribosomal RNA is filed under the name Entamoeba bovis. RNAcentral describes it as "SSU rRNA". It matches the Rfam family "Eukaryotic small subunit ribosomal RNA", at positions 1 to 569 of the family's 1831-position model. Lineage: Eukaryota; Evosea; Mastigamoebida; Endamoebidae. The record is from RNAcentral.
UGUGAUUCCCCCCGUAUUAUAUGGUGAUGGUAAAGAAUUAACCCUGCCUGUGUAAAUUUAAAGGCCCAGUAGGAUGAAACUGCCGGCGGCUCCUUAUUACCGUAAUAGUUUUUUUGGUUAGUUGGUACAAGGAUAACUUUGUGAAAGAUAAAAGUUAUUCCUGAGACGAUUCGGGGAGUAUUUAUACUUUUUGGCCCUCGGCCGCGAGGUUGGGGAAAAACGACAUUUUCUUGUGAAAAAGGAUGCCGCGACAAUUGAGGAAAGCGACGCUUUUAACAAGUAACCAAUGGGAAUUUUUGAUCUAUCAAUUUGUUGGUAGUAUCGAGGACUACCAAGAUUAUAACGGAUAACGAGGAAUUGGGGUUCGACAUCGGAGAGGGAGCUUUACAGAUGGCUACCACUUUUAAGGAAGGCAGCAGGCGCGUAAAUUACCCACUUUCGACCCGAAGAGGUAGUGACGACAAAUAACUCUUGGCGCCCCUCGGGGUGACUUGAAGGAAUGAUUUAGAAGUAAAUUCUCUAAAGAAAUCAAUGGAGGCAAGUCUGCAACCC